This 231-nucleotide ribosomal RNA is filed under the name uncultured bacterium. RNAcentral describes it as "partial 16S ribosomal RNA". It matches the Rfam family "Bacterial small subunit ribosomal RNA", at positions 118 to 347 of the family's 1533-position model. The record is from RNAcentral.
UGAGUAACCUGCCCUUGACUCUGGGAUAAGCCUGGGAAACUGGGUCUAAUACCGAAUAUGAUCAUGCUCCUCAUGGGGUGUGGUGGAAAGCUUUUGCGGUGUGGGAUGGGCCCGCGGCCUAUCAGCUUGUUGGUGGGGUAAUGGCCUACCAAGGCGACGACGGGUAGCCGGCCUGAGAGGGCGACCGGCCACACUGGGACUGAGACACGGCCCAGACUCCUACGGGAGCAG